CUACAGUGUUUCUUAAUGGGGGUGCGUAGUGUGCUCGGGGGUGAAGAAUUUUUUGGUGAUAUUGCCCUCUGCCUGGCUUUCUGGCCCCCACCCACUAAAAGCUGGUAAUGCAGGCUCCACUCUGUCACUGUGACAGCCCCAAUCUGCCCUCACACAUUUCCCAUGCUACCUCCCCAUGAUUGCUUGUAGCCUAGAGAGAAAAUAUAGAAUGAAAAGAAUUCUAAAAAAAAAAAAAAAGAAAAGAAAAGAAUUCUAUAUUCUCAUAUAGAAUGAAAAGGGAAAAAGACCCAGGACAGACUGUGCACAUUGAGGUUUUGUAGAGGAAGAAUAGCUUGCAAAGGAAGCUGAGAAGAGUGGCCAGAGAGGCAGGAGAAAUGCCAGGAAUGUGUGAUGUCAAGUGGAAGCCGCGAGAAGGGAGUGUUUUUAGAAAGAGAGGCAAGUAAAUUGUAUUGAACGCUAUUGCGAGAUGAAGCAGAGAACCAAAGUGUGUCCAUUGCAUUUUAGAGCCUGACCAAUGAGGAUCUUAGCAAGGCUAGGUCAGCAGAGUGGGGUGAGAGAUGCAGGCCUGGGUCGGGGGAGGGAGGAGGUGGGGCAGGGGGGUGUGUGGGAGAGAGAGAGAGAGAGACAGACAGACAGACAGACAGGAGCAGACAGACAGACAGACAGGAGCUCUGUCACCUACCUUCAGAAGUCUGCAGUCACUAAGGCCCACAUUCAAGGAGGGGAUUUAGACUCCCCCUUGAUAAGACAAAUGUCCAAGAAUUGGGAAUCCUUGGGUGGCUUGGUGGUUUAGUGCCUGCCUUUGGCCCAGGGUGUGAUCCUGGAGUCCUGGGAUCGAGUCCCACAUCGGGCUCCCUGCAUGGAGCCUGCUUCUCCCUCUGCCUGUGUCUCUGCCUCUCUCUCUCUCUCUGUGUCUUUCAUGAAUAAAUAAAUAAAAUCUUAAAAAAAAAGAAAAAAAUGUCCAAGAAUUUUCAGACAUUUUUCAAAACCAGCAGAGCUGACAUAGCUGGUUCCCUACCUUUCCUAGUGCUUCUGAGAACUAACGAACUAACAGAUAUAUCUGUCUGGUAUGGGUGGGGUCAGACUGCACACCAAGUGUGUUCUCUGAAUCCUACACUGUUCAGCUUCAGAAGGGCACAAGAAUGGGGCUCUCCUGGCCAAUUUAUUCAUUUAUUCAAAUAACCAAUGAAAACUCACACAUCUAAGGAGCACCUCCCAUUUGUCGAGUCCUGAAGAUACCACAGUGAAACACUUCUCUGAAUUAUGUGUACAGCCUGAUGAGACGUACACCAGGUAUUGGGGCUGUUACAAUGCAGUGUGAUGAGUGCUAAAAUACGUAGACUUCAGAAACUUGGGGGUGCACCUAACCCAGAGGACUUGGGGAUCAAGGAAGAUGUUCUAGGGAAAUGACAUCAAACCUGGGACUUGAAGAAUGAGUAUGAAUGAAUUAGGCUAGCAGUGGUGAAGGCAGUGGUAGAAGAAAGCUCCAGGAGAGACAGCAGGAUGUGCAAGGGCCCUGAGGCAGGAAGAGGCUUGCCCCCCUUCUAUGUGGCUGGAGCACCAUGGGUGGAGGAGGGAGAAAACAGAAAUGAAGCUGGAGACAUGAACUGGGGGGCAGGUCAUACAGAGCCUUCAGGAGCCUAGUCACUUAAUUUAAGGAUAACCACAGUGUUGGAUAUCAGAAAUACUUAAGGAAAAAGUAGAAUUAUUUGAUAAAGUCAGAGGCCCACAUUUAAAUUCCAAGCAUUCAAAUAACAAUGGCAAGACCUAGCUCAGUCAUGACAUGUGACAAUGGCUGAGUGGCAGCUGCCCACUGCUGGUCAUUUUAGCUCCCAUCUGGUUCUGGUGGGGUUCCCUGGAGAGCCAAUUCUGAGAUGGGGAUUUGCCAUCCGGAGUUUUUUGGAGAGUGGUCUCAGGAUCACCACUGGGAAUGGGGAGGAGAGGGGAAGGAUUGGAUGGAGAAGCUGAAUCUCAAUGGGGUAGAUCAUUUGCAACCAAGGGCUCAGCCCAUCCCACAGAAGGUAGGAUGGUCUGACUGAGUUGUUCUGCCUAAGAGCAGGAGCCAGGCUUUUACAUCCCCCAUCGAACAUUACUGGAUGUGAGUUGCCCCGGGAAGAGGGCAUGACCAUGGACAAGAUAACUAUUUUUUUGUUGAGGGUGGUCCCCAGAGAGUGACUCUGCUGAGAGCCACCCCAGAGGGCAGCGUGUCAGCGCUGCAGGAGGAUCUGGACAGUACACCACAGCAUCCACCACACCGUCACCCCAAUUCUCUCCUGACCUUGAGGCCAAGUGCCACUUAUCAUGUGUAGUUGCCCUUAUGCUGCCAUCUGUCUUAGGGUAGAGGCUGUUUCUCUUUUACCUACUUCUCCAGCACAAGUCACCAUGAAACACUCAGGGAAGGCUGCUUGCUUCAAGAAAAAUAGGAGAAUACAUCGGUCCUUUUGGGAGUGAAGAAUAUUCAUUCCUGCUUGAUUGAUUUGCAAACACCC
Molecule: long non-coding RNA, 2489 nt
Filed under: Canis lupus familiaris (dog)
Lineage: Eukaryota; Metazoa; Chordata; Mammalia; Carnivora; Canidae
Description: lncRNA (ENSCAFG00040025420.1)
Source: RNAcentral